Non-coding RNA from Meleagris gallopavo (turkey), 2748 nucleotides. NCBI's taxonomy places the organism in Eukaryota, Metazoa, Chordata, Aves, Galliformes, Phasianidae. The record is from RefSeq and is a predicted model, not a curated record.
GGCCGGCCUCGGCUUCUCCCCCCUCUCCGAAGGCUGUCGGCAACGAUUCGGCCCCUCCCGCUUCCAGCGCGGAGCGCGAGCGGGACGGGACAGGAAGGCGCAGCAGCGAGGCGGCGGAGUCGCUCUUUCGGUGAGCUAAUUGGAACGUGCUGAGCCGUGCCUGGGGACAGAUGAAGAACUAGGGGGUGCGCUGCCGCGCGAGGCUCAAGAGGCGGUCGACGUGGGUAACGUCACCGGGGGCUCCGGGGACAGGCGGGGCCGAGGAAGCCAACGAGAUCUUACGCACGCGGCUGAAACGCGUUGUCAUUGCAGGAGGCUUCCGUGACGCGUCGAAGAUCAAGUUUCAGAUGCGGGUGGCAGAGAAGCCGACGAGGAGAGCUGCCCGAGCUCGUCCUCCCUGCUGACGAAGGGCCAGCUGGAGCUGAGAAGAGCAGGGGAGGCCCGGAGCGCAGCAGGUGCGAAGCAAGGAGCGGGAUCGGCGCACGGGUCUCGGACGGAGCAGAAUUCCUCCUCUUGAAGGCCUUAAUUGGCGGCGUCCCUCAGGCGAGAGCAGCGGGAGAGGUCCGGCGAACGGUUCUUGGCGCUCGAGCCUCCCUUCCUCCUGUUCAGAAGGGGCGUCUCCCUCAAAGAAAGAUGCCCGUCACUGCUGUCUGCACAAAGGGCAAGGCGGCCAAUCGACCUCACCUCCUUCCCCGGACAGGUGAGGGAACAGGUUGUUGGAGAAGCCAUUUCUGAGUCUCUGGAAGAGAAGAAAUGUUGCUGGAACAAUCCGAAGGUGGAUUCUGUGAGGGUAAAGGAGGCUGGAUCAGCCAGGUUUAGGGUCAGCGUGGGGAUCCUGACAGUGAGACUGCGGUGCUUCUGUGGAGUGAGGUUUCUGUGCAGCUGGUGCUGAGGAGGUCUGUGUCCUGGGUUGCAAGGUGCAGAAGAAGCAGAGGGGGUCCAAGAGGUAUUUAGAAACGGAAGGAGCCUGCCAGGCAGCUCAAGACUUCAAAGGCCGUGUCUGAAAACACGGUCUGAACGCUUCUCGAACGCGGUCAGCUAGAGGUAGUGACUGGUGCCUCGGGGGAGCCCGUUCUGCUGUCUGACUGCCCUCUGCUGAAGAAAUGUGUCAUUACCUCCUGUGUGACAGUCUGCGUGUGCAGCUCUGUGGGGUUCCCUUAGGUUAUAUCUACGAUGCGGAGAUGGCCCCUUCGAGGAGCUGUGGCUACCCUUAAGCCUCCCUUUGGCCUCGGGGCUUGACAAACUGAGGGACCGUGGUGGCUUCUUGUAAAGCUUGCCCUCUAACCCCCUCAUCCUCUUUGUAUCAACAUGUCGCUGCUAAACUGCUGAACAGUGAAACUCGGUGCAAUGCCUGCUCUUUUCUUGAAUGCCUCAGGUUUUCUCUGGAGUCAGAGUCAGCACCCCAGGAUAGCUCACCCAUCUCCUCUUAGAAAAUCUUUUCUGCAUCUCUGCCCCGAAGCUCCUCUGAUCUAGCUUCAGGCUAUUCCCUUCAUCCCAUUGCUAGCUACCUGAGAAAAGAAGCAGAGCCUCCCCUACCUCCAGCUUUGAGAUAGUUGCAGAGGAGGAGUCUGAGCCCCUCCUUGCGUGCUUUCUGCGAGCUCUGUUUUUUACACUGUGACGCCCAAACCAUGCAGGGUCUUCGCAGUGAGGCUGUACCGCUGCGGAAUGGGAUGGUCCCUUCUGUUAUUUAGUGGGUAGUGCUGGGUCUGAAGCACCCUGGGGUACUGUAGGCCUGUCGGCUGCUGGGGUGUGCUGCUGAUUCCAGUUCAAGCUGCCAUCAACUGCAACCCCCUGAUUCCUUUUGGCAGGGCAGCGCUCUCGCCUCCGUGUCUGCAUUAUGGAACCAGAGUUGGCCUCACAUCAAACCUCGCUCGCUUGGCAAUGGCAUAACCUGCUGCUGCACUGAGAUCAAGCUACAAAGCCUUCCCACCCGCGAGCCGACCACAGCUCUUCCUAACUGAGCAUCAUCAGCAAAUGUACUUAAUAUGCAAUAAAGUCGCAUGUCCCCAUCAUUCAUAGAAAUACCCACAAGAGCUUGCCCCAGAAAUGAAGCCCUGGGGCAUGGCUGGCGCCCAUCUACCAGCCUCUUCCCCUCUCGCUUAUUCUAACAGAUGCUCAGAGCCUCUUCUCUAAGAGCCUGAGUCAUUGUGUUAACGGAAGGAUCCCCUUAAUAAUACAGGCACAUAAAAGUAUUGGUCUUGAAUCAGUGGUAAGUUUACAGCUGAUGAGUAAAGACUUCUUCCCACCCAACUUUCUUCCCACCCAACUCUUGAUUUUAACCACUCCAAGUCGCUCUACUAUUCAUGCUGUCUGGAUAGUAACAUCAGUGUGUAUUCUACUGUUAACACCCUGACCUGCCAAGUGAGAACUCAGUGGUUUGCAGCUACUAAAGACUAAAGCCACCAAAAAACCCUUCCCUUGAUUUGUAAGUUCUCCUGGGCGCACACGUUCAGAAAAGAGCUUCCAACAUACAUACAUACCAAUCUUUAUGUCUUUCUUUCCUUACAAACAGAAAUACAAACUCUCCUUACCCUCUGCUUAACUAAAAACCCAGGCUGUACUAAUGUAUUCCUCCAUCAGUCAAGAGAAAAAGCGAUUCACUGUUUUUCCUAAUAUGUAUGAUAAAUCAGAAAUAAAAGCCCUAAUCCUUAAUUCACAUGGACUUGACAACAAUGAAUGGCAUUUGACCGAAAGCGGACUCAACACUCUGACCUUGGCGCUUAACUUGCUCACUCUGAGCACCUACCC